RNAcentral lists this unclassified non-coding RNA (402 nucleotides) under uncultured fungus. RNAcentral's name for it is "partial contains 5.8S ribosomal RNA and internal transcribed spacer 2". The stretch from base 1 to 134 matches the Rfam family "5.8S ribosomal RNA", at positions 22 to 154 of the family's 154-position model. Lineage: Eukaryota; Fungi. The record is from RNAcentral.
UGGCUCUCGCAUCGAUGAAGAACGCAGCAAAGCGCGAAAUGUAAUGUGAAUUGCAGAAUUCAGUGAAUCAUCGAAUCUUUGAACGCAUCUUGCGCUCUCGGGUUAUUCCUGGGAGCAUGCUUGUUUGAGUAACAGAAAAGCUCAACCCCGCUUUCUUAAUUGAAAGUAGUGUUUUGGGUUAGGAUCGUGACAGCCUGUCGUUUCUAAUAACGAAACAACUCUGUCGAAAGUAAAGCGGCUGAACUUUGUAUCGUGCGCUAGACACUAUUGUUAUAACAUCCUUAACCGGUCUCAAUAGAAUAGCAUGAUCAAAAUCAAGUAAGCCUUGGAAUUGCCAUAGUCUUUUUCAAUAAAGAUUAUUUUUUUAAGCUUGUUCUCAAAUCAAGUAGGACUACCCGCUGA